RNAcentral lists this transfer RNA (73 nucleotides) under Gemmatimonas sp. SG8_23. RNAcentral's name for it is "tRNA-Gly". It matches the Rfam family "tRNA". From Rfam's summary of the family: Transfer RNA (tRNA) molecules are approximately 80 nucleotides in length. Their secondary structure includes four short double-helical elements and three loops (D, anti-codon, and T loops). RNAcentral also lists the same sequence under 8 other names. The record is from RNAcentral. Lineage: Bacteria; Pseudomonadati; Gemmatimonadota; Gemmatimonadia; Gemmatimonadales; Gemmatimonadaceae.
GCGGGAGUAGCUCAGUUGGUAGAGCAUCAGCUUCCCAAGCUGAGGGUCGCCGGUUCGAGCCCGGUCUCCCGCU